CAUUGACUUCAAUGUUAAAAUUUUUGCACAAAAAGUAAAAAAAAACAAAAAGUAUAAAUGUUAGAAAAGUGAAAAGUAAUAGCAAACGUGUCCUGAAGGAGUGGAAUAGUUUAAAGUUUGAACGGUUGAAAUCGCACAAACUGGGAAGGAGUUGAAAGCGGACGAAAAACGGCGGAAGAAUAAUAAUAAUAAUAAUAAUAAUAAUAAUAAUAAAGAAACGGGAGAAUAACAAUAAGUGGAAAUGCCUAUCAGCAUUUCCACUUAACUAGAAAAAUUGCAUUUCCUUGCAGAAAAUGCGUGGAAAUGCUGAGUGCUGAAAGCUGAAAAAGCAAUGCUAAACUGCUAAUAAAACAUGGAGAAAGGUAUAAAUGUUAAAGCUGUUGAAGGGGUGAAAAAGAAAUAUAAGUUGGAUAAUUGUUUAAUUGGUCGAAGGACAAAUAGUCUGAAUAUGCUCUAUAAAAGGAAAUUUUAUUCAUGCUGAAAGAGGCUAGAAAAAUGUGUAAAAUUGCACAAAGUUUGAAUGAAGAAGGAAACUGCCUUAAAAGGCAGGAAGGUGAGAAGUGGCAUAAGUUUAAGUUUUAGUACUAAAAGUAGUAUAAGAGGUCAAGGCGUGAUACUAGUAGUUAUGUCAGCAGUAGAAGUAGAUUGAGGAUAAAAGAAGUAUAAGUCAAAGUAGUAAAGAAAGUAGAAAUAGUAGCAAUAGCAGUUGAAGUAGAGGGGAAAGUACUAGUUUAAUUGACAUUAGCAGUAGUUGUAGUACUAAAGGUGGGAUUUUUUUAUUAAAGGAUGGAAUAUUGCAUAAAUAUUAAAACCAAUUUAAACAGGGAAAAUUUAAUUAAUUAAAAAUCCUCAAGUAUCAGAAAGUUUUUAAGUAUUAGAAAGGUUUGAAUCAGUUUGAAUGAGUUUAAAAUAGUUUGAAAAAUUAAAUGAUAAAUCAUCACUGAGUGACUUUAAAAUGUGAAAAAUUUAAAUCAAUAUAAAUCCUGAAUACACCCCAUAAUGUCCUCAAUGAGCUUAAAUUUUAAAGCCCUGAAUGGUUUCUGUAGGUCAAAGGUCAUGUGAGGAGAUAGGGGCUGAAGUUUUUUCAAGCGCUCUAGGAAAGGGUUUUAAGUGUCAUCCCCAGUGCUAUGUGUACUGAGCCUGGCUUCAUGUGUCUCAUUUGGCCAUUAGAAGCAGCUUUCCAGUCAGCUGUGUGUCUCCAGGUGCACAAUUGGUUGCCAUGGGGACCUUGGAUGCAUAACUAUAGCAGGAGAAAGAAGGCUUGAAGCUAAGGAAACAGGACUCCAAGUAGGCCCUGACGCUCAUCCUCUGUAUCUAUUCCUGAUAAGGAGCUUGUGAGAACACAAGACUCUGCUAAACACAUUAAUACAAUUUAUUAUCACAAUCCUCAAAACACCCCAUAAUAUCUUCAAUGAGCUGAAUUUUUGAAGCCCAGAAUGGUUUCUGUAGCUCAAAGUUUGUGGGUGGAGAUAGGUGGUGAAGCAGACACAUAUUAACUGUGUGUACAAGCAGCUGAACUGCAAGGUGGACCUCAAAAAGCAACAAGUACAAGAAUGUGUGUGCGUGUGUGUGUGUGUGUCUCGUUAAUGACUGCAUCCUAAACAGCUGUGAGAUCAAAGGCAAAUCACUAACCUACUGUUUGACUGAGAGGUGCUGAACUGCAGUGAAUUUCAGCCUGUGAACUUCUUCACAUAGCGUGAUUUCCUUAAGUCCCAGAAUGAAAAUAAGAACAUCGUACGAAUCCUCCGUCCUUCAUGAACACAAUGAUGUGUUUUUCAUGUCUGUACUUCGAAAAAUGAGGCCACAACAGCGAGUUAAAAAAGUCUGAGCUUGAGCGAUGAUCCGGAUUUUCUUGGAGAAAAAUAACAUUAAAGUCAAUGGGAGAGAUUUCCGCCUUUUUUGGACAGUUGGUCACCUGCUGGCCAAGGGGUACGAUUUAAUGAUUUGAAACCUCUUUUGUGAGAAGCAGGACACAUAUACCUCCAUUUUGAUGUAUUAUUUGUGUCAGUGGAGUGAGAUUUGUGGGCGUGGGAGCGAUAUAUUCGAGCGAGGUUCUGUCGAUCAGAGACGAGGUCUGCACUCUAGCUGAUGACAUCAUCACUCUAAACUCUCCAAUACACACCCAUUAUAAAGCUUGAAAUUUGCUGAAAACCACAAGUUGCUUAAAGCUAAAUUGUGGAAAAACUGUAAAAGAUAUCAAAAAACUGAGUACAACUUUAAUAGUCGACAAGACAAUGAACAUUUUAAAGCAAAAAUGAGGUCUCUAGGUGAAAGUAUGCUGAAGUUAUAAGGUCUAGAAGGUGGAAGAGGAAAAGGUAGAUUUUAAGAUUUUCCCAUUCAUUUCCAAUGGUACAAAUUUUGCACAAAAAGUUAAAAAAAACAAAAAGUAUAAAGGGUAGAAAGGAAAAAAAUACAAGCCCUCAUGUCCUGAAGGAGUGGAAUAGUUUAAAGUUUGAACGGUUUAAAUAGCACAAAAUUUGAAGGAGGAGAUAGCGGACAAAAAUUGGCGGAAGAAUAAUAAUAAUAACUAGAAAA
This 2535-nucleotide long non-coding RNA is filed under the name Xyrichtys novacula (pearly razorfish). The record is from RNAcentral. Lineage: Eukaryota; Metazoa; Chordata; Actinopteri; Labriformes; Labridae.